RNAcentral lists this ribosomal RNA (293 nucleotides) under uncultured bacterium. RNAcentral describes it as "partial 16S ribosomal RNA". It matches the Rfam family "Bacterial small subunit ribosomal RNA", at positions 505 to 796 of the family's 1533-position model. The record is from RNAcentral.
GUGCCAGCAGCCGCGGUAAGACGAACCGUCCAAACGUUAUUCGGAAUCACUGGGCUUAAAGGGCGCGUAGGCGGCCGAGCGGGUCACGGGUGAAAUCCUCCAGCUUAACUGGAGAACUGCCCUUGAUACCACUGCGGCUCGAGGAAGGAAGGGGUCAUGGGAACUGUCGGUGGAGCGGUGAAAUGCGUUGAUAUCGACAGGAACGCCGGUGGCGAAAGCGCAUGACUGGUCCUUUUCUGACGCUGAGGCGCGAAAGCCAGGGGAGCAAACGGGAUUAGAAACCCUUGUAGUCC